UUAAUUGCUGUUCGUUAUACCUAGUGUAUUUUCCGUUUUAGUAUAGUUUUCAUCUUAAGAAGUUCAGUUAGAGUUUUUAAAAAAUAUAUGUUUAUGUUUAAUAUGCUCCAGCUUUUCUUUAGUUUCUCGGCCAGGAGAAAUAUAUUAACUCUUUGUGUACUAAUUCUUGUCAUAUGUGUCAUUUCUAGAUCAGUUUCAAUUGGCUGGUGCUUCUCCUCAUUAUGGACCACAAUUUUCUGCUAUUUUGCAUGCCUGGCAGUCUUUCACUGGAUACCAGACAUUAACAACAGAAGGAGGAUUGGCCCUGGGGUGUUGCCCAAAUUCAAAGUGUGAAGAGGAGUGGUCUCCCACUAUUCAUUGGUGCCAUCAAGGACACCCAGGAAGCAGAGAACAAGGAAAGAGCACCUAAUGUCACAGCUGCACAUCCUGGCACAUUCAGAAAUAUGUGUCACUAUUCUCCUGAAGUUAUUUUCUGAAGCUAUCGAGUUGACAAUUAAGAUUUUCAUCACAUAAAAUUAUUACACAGAUGAGGAAACUGAGGCUUUGAGAAGCUAAAGAGCUACCCCAUUCCUUUACUCCGGAAGCUGAGACAGGAGACUUCAAGAGUUUGAGGGCAGCCUUUAUAUAGUGAAUUCAAGGCUAUACAGCAAGACUGUUACAAAUAAACAAACUGUUAUGGUUGACACAUCGAGUCAACUUGAGAAGUUUAGAAGGACCCUUACUUUGUAAACACUCUCAUUCUGCCUAAGAGGAGGACACAGAGAUUUUGUGAGUGCUGCAUCUGCCCUGGGGGUUGCUCUUGCUGCUUUUGUUGGCUGCUGCCUGGAAGUGUUGUCCCAGUGGCAUGCCACCCUGCCUUGAAGCCAGCUGAUUAUGGGCUGAAAUCUCCACAAUCAGGGAGCUAAAUAAACCUUUCUUUCCUUCA
Cavia porcellus (domestic guinea pig) is the source of this 925-nucleotide long non-coding RNA. RefSeq lists it as uncharacterized. The transcript is spliced from 2 exons. The record is from RefSeq and is a predicted model, not a curated record. NCBI's taxonomy places the organism in Eukaryota, Metazoa, Chordata, Mammalia, Rodentia, Caviidae.